AAGAGACAGCAGCCGCCGCGGUAAUACAGAGGGUGCAAGCGUUAAUCGGAAUUACUGGGCGUAAAGCGCGCGUAGGUGGUUUGUUAAGUUGGAUGUGAAAUCCCCGGGCUCAACCUGGGAAUUGCAGUGGAUACUGGGUCACUAGAGUGUGGUAGAGGAUAGUGGAAUUUUCGGUGUAGCAGUGAAAUGCGUAGAGAUCGGAAGGAACAUCUGUGGCGAAGGCGACUAUCUGGGCCAACACUGACACUGAGGCACGAAAGCGUGGGGAGCAAACAGGAUUAGAUACCCCUGUAGUCCCUGUCUCUUAUAC
RNAcentral lists this ribosomal RNA (310 nucleotides) under uncultured bacterium. RNAcentral describes it as "partial 16S ribosomal RNA". It matches the Rfam family "Bacterial small subunit ribosomal RNA", at positions 503 to 807 of the family's 1533-position model. The record is from RNAcentral.